UCACCAUUCCCAGAACACACUUAGCUUACAUUUUCAGGUGUUGGAAGCCCCGGAGCCUCACAGGGGACCACGCCCACUGCCAGGAGCUGCAGCGAUUCCCCUUUUGUGGUCAGGGAGGCCGUGGAGCCCUGGGUGACCCUGUGACUUCCCAGGCUGCAGGUGGGAUUGAGCCAGGCACUGCGCACGCAGCACUGUGAGCCGCUGGCCCAGGCCAGGCUCCAGAGAUGGGAGCUCCGCGGGUUCACAGUCGUCUGUGACAGCAGAGCUGAGGGGAGGACGCAGACCCUGGCCUGACCUUGGGCUACCUCUCAGGGUUAGGCCACUGCCUCUGCUGCAGACCCAGGCGGCGCCCAAAGCCUGGGCGUCCCUCCGCUGCAGUGAAAGGGAAAAGAAAACCGGGCUGCGGUAAUGCCUGGAGCCAAAAUCUCAGGGAGAAGCCCAGCUCCCGACACCUACCCUCUUAAAGUGCAGUUGGAUUGAAUGAGGCUAAAGGAAGUAACAGGAACCCCGGCCUGGAGGAAGGAGCACGUGCUAUGGGCCUCAGAGGGUGGCAGAGGAGGUCUGCAGGGGCGAGAAUCUCGGACAGAGCCGAGGCACAGGGGCAGUGCGCAUGACCAGGGCUCCCAGACUUCAGGCAAGGAUGAUGGCGGAGAGACACGGCUUAGAAGUCAUCCCACCAUAUGGACGGGGAAACUGAGGCCCAGAGACAUGCAGAGACUUGGCUCGGACUGUUUUCUUCAAUGUGAGAUAGGAUUUGAAGGGGGAAAGUGAAGGAGUUAUUUCACCUGAUGUGUUAAGUGCGGAGUGAGGUAGGUGGGAUUUAGAGGGGAAAGCGAAGAAGGAGUUAUUUCACUCAAAGUGCGGAGUGACGAAGAUGAAGGAACACGAGGUAGCCGGGCAGUGGGUGCUGAGUUGGCUGACACUGGCUUCCUUCCAGAGCGCAGGGGUGCAUCCUUCCGAACCUCGCAUUCAGUGACGUCACCUUGGUGAUUUGAAGUAGGCCCUGGUGGAAGUAUUUACACCAUGGACAUCAGCAAAUGCAACCAAGACCUCCCGCUACCCUGGAGAGCUGGGUUUAAGACAUUUGCCAGCACACCACUGCCCAGGGACCAGUCUCAGCUCCAGAGCUGUGGGUUAUUGGUAAAGGAUGUGAUUUCAUUGAGCCUCAGUUUCUGUAUCUGUAAAGCAGGAAUCUAUCACUUAUGAAAUAUCCUGUGCAGGCACAAUCUUAGGUGUGGAGGAUACAAUACAACUCUUUGUAAUAGUUAAUUUUAUGCAUCAACUUGACUGGAUCACAGUGUGCCCAGAUAUUUGAUCAAACAUUAUUCUGAGUGUUUCCGUGACAAUGUUUUUGGAUACAAUCAACAUUUAUUUAAUUGGUUGAAGACCUGAAUAGAACAAAGAGUUCAAUUCUCUCAAGUAAGAGAAUUCCUCCUGUCUGACUACUUCAGAAUUGGGACAUUGGCUUUUUCCUGCCUCUACACUACAACUACACCAUCAAGCCUUCAGACAUGGAAAGGAACCACACUAUUGGCUCUCCUCGGUCUUCAGCUUGCCAACUCAAUGCAGAUCUUUGCAUUUGUCAGCCUUAUAACCAUGUGAGCUAAUUCCCUAAAAUAAAUGUCCUCAUUUAAAUGUA
RNAcentral lists this long non-coding RNA (1639 nucleotides) under Homo sapiens (human). RNAcentral describes it as "HSALNT0360423". Lineage: Eukaryota; Metazoa; Chordata; Mammalia; Primates; Hominidae. The record is from RNAcentral.